GCGCCCGUAGCUCAGCUGGAUAGAGUACUGCCCUCCGAAGGCAGGGGUCGGACGUUCGAAUCGUCUCGGGCACGCCA
RNAcentral lists this transfer RNA (77 nucleotides) under Betaproteobacteria bacterium. RNAcentral's name for it is "tRNA-Arg". It matches the Rfam family "tRNA". From Rfam's summary of the family: Transfer RNA (tRNA) molecules are approximately 80 nucleotides in length. Their secondary structure includes four short double-helical elements and three loops (D, anti-codon, and T loops). The record is from RNAcentral. Lineage: Bacteria; Pseudomonadati; Pseudomonadota; Betaproteobacteria.